GUCCACGCCGUAACUAUGGAUGCUAGCCGUCGGAUAGCUUGCUAUUCGGUGGCGCAGCUAACGCAUUAAGCAUCCCGCCUGGGGAGUACGGCCGCAAGGUUAAACUCAAAGGAAUUGACGGGGGCCCGCACAAGCGGUGGAGCAUGUGGUUUAAUUCGACGCAACGCGAAGAACCUUACCAGCCCUUGACAUGCCCGGACGGUUUCCAGAGAUGGAUUCCUCCUAGCAAUAGGUCGGGACACAGGUGCUGCAUGGCUGUCGU
Molecule: ribosomal RNA, 262 nt
Filed under: uncultured bacterium
Lineage: Bacteria
Description: partial 16S ribosomal RNA
Rfam family: Bacterial small subunit ribosomal RNA
Source: RNAcentral